AUGAAGGAUGUUGGGUAUGGUAUAUUUUCCACUAUUCUUUCAGUAUGUCAUUCUCCUGAUUGGUUGAUUGACACAGGUGCUAAUGUGCAUGUAUGCGGUGAUAUUUCCAUGUUUUCGUCUUAUCAGACCGCAGGAACUUCAACCGUGCUGAUGGGCAACGGUUCAAGUGCUUCUGUUCGUGGUGUUGGCACGGUCGAUCUGAAGUUUACUUCAGGGAAGAUCGUGCGGCUGAAGAACGUGCAUUAUGUCCCCUCCGUCAAUAAAAAUCUUGUUAGCGGAUCUCUUCUGUGUAGAGAUGGCUAUAAGCUUGUCUUUGAGUCGAAUAAAGUUGUAAUAUCCAAGUAUGGAACCUUUGUUGGUAAAGGCUAUGAGUCAGGAGGCCUGUUUCGUUUAUCCUUA
This 399-nucleotide ribosomal RNA is filed under the name Triticum aestivum (bread wheat). Its description in RNAcentral is "partial small subunit ribosomal RNA". Lineage: Eukaryota; Viridiplantae; Streptophyta; Magnoliopsida; Poales; Poaceae. The record is from RNAcentral.